RNAcentral lists this ribosomal RNA (1396 nucleotides) under uncultured bacterium. Its description in RNAcentral is "partial 16S ribosomal RNA". It matches the Rfam family "Bacterial small subunit ribosomal RNA". The record is from RNAcentral.
AGAGUUUGAUCCUGGCUCAGGACGAACGCUGGCGGCGUGCCUAACACAUGCAAGUCGAGCGAGAAAGUUUCCUUCGGGAGAUGAGUACAGCGGCGGACGGGUGAGUAACACGUGAACAACCUGCCCUUGAGACAGGGAUAACAGCGGGAAACCGUUGCUAAUACCUGAUAAUCUAAUUUUAUCGCAUGAUAGGAUUAGGAAAGGAUUAAUCGCUCAAGGAUGGGUUCGCGUCCCAUUAGCUAGUUGGUGGGGUAAAGGCCUACCAAGGCGACGAUGGGUAGCCGGCCUGAGAGGGUGUCCGGCCACACUGGUACUGAGACACGGACCAGACUCCUACGGGAGGCAGCAGUGAGGAAUAUUGGUCAAUGGGCGGAAGCCUGAACCAGCCAUGCCGCGUGCAGGAUUGACGGCCCUACGGGUUGUAAACUGCUUUUGCGCGGGAAGAAUAACCCCCUCGUGAGGGGGGAUGCCGGUACCGCGCGAAUAAGGAUCGGCUAACUCCGUGCCAGCAGCCGCGGUAAUACGGAGGAUCCGAGCGUUAUCCGGAUUUACUGGGUUUAAAGGGUGCGUAGGCGGGCUAUUAAGUCUGCGGUGAAAGUCAUCGGCUCAACCGGUGGAUUGCCGUGGAUACUGGGGGCCUUGGGUACGGUCGGGGCCGGCGGAAUGCGUGGUGUAGCGGUGAAAUGCUUAGAUAUCACACAGAACACCGAUUGCGAAGGCAGCACACUAAGUCAUUAUUGACGCUGAGGCACGAAAGUGUGGGGAUCAAACAGGAUUAGAUACCCUGGUAGUCCACACUGUAAACGAUGAUAAUUGGCUGUCGGCGAUCCACAGUCGCUGGGCACGAGAAAGCAUUAAGUUAUCCACCUGGGGAGUACGACCGCAAGGUUGAAAACUCAGAGGAAUUGACGGGGGCCCGCACAAGCGGAGGAACAUGUGGUUUAAUUCGAUGAUACGCGAGGAACCUUACCCGGGCUCGAACGGUGCAUGAAUAUACGAGAGAUUGUAUAGUCCUUCGGGACAUGUAUCGAGGUGCUGCAUGGUUGUCGUCAGCUCGUGCCGUGAGGUGUCGGCUUAAGUGCCAUAACGAGCGCAACCCUUGUCAUUAGUUGCCAUCAGGUCAAGCUGGGGACUUUAAUGAGACUGCCACCGUAAGGUGUGAGGAAGGGGGGGAGGACGUCAAAUCAGCACGGCCCUUAUGUCCGGGGCGACACACGUGUUACAAUGGGAGGUACAGAGGGCAGCUAUCCGGUGACGGAAUGCUAAUCUCCAAAACCUUUCUCAGUUCGGAUUGGAGUCUGCAACUCGACUCCAUGAAGGUGGAUUCGCUAGUAAUCGCGCAUCAGCCAUGGCGCGGUGAAUACGUUCCCGGGCCUUGCACACACCGCCCGUCAAG